RNAcentral lists this ribosomal RNA (484 nucleotides) under uncultured bacterium. Its description in RNAcentral is "partial 16S ribosomal RNA". It matches the Rfam family "Bacterial small subunit ribosomal RNA", at positions 30 to 507 of the family's 1533-position model. The record is from RNAcentral.
AUUGGACGCUGGCGGCAGGCCUAACACAUGCAAGUCGAGCGGAUGAAGGGAGCUUGCUCCUUGAUUCAGCGGCGGACGGGUGAGUAAUGCCUAGGAAUCUGCCUGGUAGUGGGGGAUAACGUCCGGAAACGGGCGCUAAUACCGCAUACGUCCUGAGGGAGAAAGUGGGGGAUCUUCGGACCUCACGCUAUCAGAUGAGCCUAGGUCGGAUUAGCUAGUUGGUGGGGUAAAGGCCUACCAAGGCGACGAUCCGUAACUGGUCUGAGAGGAUGAUCAGUCACACUGGAACUGAGACACGGUCCAGACUCCUACGGGAGGCAGCAGUGGGGAAUAUUGGACAAUGGGCGAAAGCCUGAUCCAGCCAUGCCGCGUGUGUGAAGAAGGUCUUCGGAUUGUAAAGCACUUUAAGUUGGGAGGAAGGGCAGUAAGUUAAUACCUUGCUGUUUUGACGUUACCAACAGAAUAAGCACCGGCUAACUUCGUG